RNAcentral lists this ribosomal RNA (305 nucleotides) under uncultured bacterium. Its description in RNAcentral is "bacterial SSU rRNA". It matches the Rfam family "Bacterial small subunit ribosomal RNA", at positions 333 to 655 of the family's 1533-position model. The record is from RNAcentral.
GGAAGCCUACGGGGGGCAGCAGUGGGGGAUAUUGGACAAUGGGGGAAACCCUGAUCCAGCGAUGCCGCGUGAGGGAAGAAGGUUUUCGGAUUGUAAACCUCUGUGGAGGGGGACGAUAAUGACGGUACCCCUUUAGGAAGCCACGGCUAACUACGUGCCAGCAGCCGCGGUAAUACGUAGGUGGCGAGCGUUGUCCGGAUUUACUGGGUGUAAAGGGUGCGUAGGCGGGUAAGCAAGUCAGAAGUGAAAUCCAUGGGCUUAACCCAUGAACUGCUUUUGAAACUGUUUAUCUUGAGUGAAGUAGA